GGGGCUGUAGCUCAGUUGGGAGAGCACCUGCUUUGCAAGCAGGGGGUCACCGGUUCGAGCCCGGUCAGCUCCACCA
Molecule: transfer RNA, 76 nt
Filed under: Terriglobia bacterium
Lineage: Bacteria; Pseudomonadati; Acidobacteriota; Terriglobia
Also listed under: 2 other names
Description: tRNA-Ala
Rfam family: tRNA
About the family: Transfer RNA (tRNA) molecules are approximately 80 nucleotides in length. Their secondary structure includes four short double-helical elements and three loops (D, anti-codon, and T loops). Further hydrogen bonds mediate the characteristic L-shaped molecular structure. tRNAs have two regions of fundamental functional importance: the anti-codon, which is responsible for specific mRNA codon recognition, and the 3' end, to which the tRNAs corresponding amino acid is attached (by aminoacyl-tRNA synthetases). tRNAs cope with the degeneracy of the genetic code in two manners: having more than one tRNA (with a specific anti-codon) for a particular amino acid; and 'wobble' base-pairing, i.e. permitting non-standard base-pairing at the 3rd anti-codon position.
Source: RNAcentral